This 73-nucleotide transfer RNA is filed under the name Diaphorina citri (Asian citrus psyllid). It matches the Rfam family "tRNA". Rfam says of the family: Transfer RNA (tRNA) molecules are approximately 80 nucleotides in length. Their secondary structure includes four short double-helical elements and three loops (D, anti-codon, and T loops). The record is from Rfam by way of RNAcentral. Lineage: Eukaryota; Metazoa; Arthropoda; Insecta; Hemiptera; Psyllidae.
GCCUAGUUAGCUUAGUUGGUAGUGCGUCUGCCUUGUAAGCGCUAGGCCGUGGGUUCGAUUCCCGCCCGGGACA